AUGACAGCAGUUGUCCCAAAAUUUCAGUAUUUUCAGUUGUUUGUCGACCAUAAAGAUAUGACAUUUGACAAUGUAAUUGAUGACAUUCAUGUUAGUGGUACACCUGAUCUUCCUCCUGUACUAAGCCCUAAGUCUCCUCAAUUUAUUACUAGAAUUAGGGGCAGUCCUAGGUUUAAUGUUAAAGCUCAGAAAGGCAGUCUCAACCAGUGUCAUGCAGGCAGCAACAAUGUAGGCAGUAGCAGUGUUCCACCAAUGGCACAAAGUGUUAGCCAUGAGCUCAGAAGAAGUAGGAGAAAGCUUGUGGUAGAAGAAGAAAUUCCCAAUGAAAAAGACAGUGACAGUGAUAACAGUGAGUGGGAUUCAGACUGGGUUGACUCUGACAAUGAAGUAAGUAAAGAUGAUGAUGAUCUUUAUGAAGAAUGGGUGGAUGACAAAUUUGAGCAGAAGAAAAAGAAUAAAUCCAAAUGGAAGCAGGACAAUGACUAUGAAUUUGAUGAGUUGUAA
This 504-nucleotide ribosomal RNA is filed under the name Triticum aestivum (bread wheat). RNAcentral describes it as "partial small subunit ribosomal RNA". The record is from RNAcentral. Lineage: Eukaryota; Viridiplantae; Streptophyta; Magnoliopsida; Poales; Poaceae.